GGACUCAGCCGUACCACCCUGAACACGCCCUGUCUCACCUGAUCUCCGAAGCUAAGCAGGGUCGGGCCUGGUUAGUCCUUGGAUGGGAGGAGAUCCGGAAACUGCUUCCG
Molecule: ribosomal RNA, 110 nt
Filed under: Neogale vison (American mink)
Lineage: Eukaryota; Metazoa; Chordata; Mammalia; Carnivora; Mustelidae
Source: RNAcentral